ACGGGCAGAACACCCGUUUAUAGGCUCUAAGUGGAAGUACAGUAAUGUAUGAAGCUGAGGUGUACUAACAGACCGAGGGCUUGACCUC
RNAcentral lists this ribosomal RNA (88 nucleotides) under Nodularia spumigena CENA596. Its description in RNAcentral is "partial 23S ribosomal RNA". The record is from RNAcentral. Lineage: Bacteria; Bacillati; Cyanobacteriota; Cyanophyceae; Nostocales; Nodulariaceae.